CCCGUACCAUCACCAAAGUUAAGCAACGUUGAGCCUGGUUAGUACUUAGAUGGGCGACCACUUGGGAAUACCAGCAGCUGUAAG
Molecule: non-coding RNA, 84 nt
Organism: Acanthosepion pharaonis
Lineage: Eukaryota; Metazoa; Mollusca; Cephalopoda; Sepiida; Sepiidae
Source: the annotation of a GenBank genome assembly